This is a long non-coding RNA of Salarias fasciatus (jewelled blenny), 133 nucleotides long. RefSeq lists it as uncharacterized. The record is from RefSeq and is a predicted model, not a curated record. The transcript is spliced from 3 exons. Lineage: Eukaryota; Metazoa; Chordata; Actinopteri; Blenniiformes; Blenniidae.
CAUCUAACUGCUCCGCAAGCAGACUAAUCCAGGAGGUCAGCAAAGCUUUCGGCUAGGAGAGUGAUGAACGAGCCCUUAGUGAGUUCUCUGUCUGUCAGAGGAAACGGAGAAAAAUACUGAGAGAGGGAGAGAG